This 497-nucleotide ribosomal RNA is filed under the name uncultured bacterium. RNAcentral describes it as "partial 16S ribosomal RNA". It matches the Rfam family "Bacterial small subunit ribosomal RNA", at positions 28 to 507 of the family's 1533-position model. The record is from RNAcentral.
GAUGAACGCUGGCGGCGUGCCUAAUACAUGCAAGUCGAGCGAACAGACGAGGAGCUUGCUCCCCUGACGUUAGCGGCGGACGGGUGAGUAACACGUGGAUAACCUACUUAUAAGACUGGGAUAACUUCGGGAAACAGGAGCUAAUACCGGAUAAUAUAUUGAACCGCAUGGUUCAAUAGUGAAAGACGGUUUUGCUGUCACUAAUAGCUGGAUCCGCGCCGCAUUAGCUAGUUGGUAAGGUAACGGCUUACCAAGGCAACGAUGCGUAGCCGACCUGAGAGGGUGAUCAGCCACACUGGAACUGAGACACGGUCCAGACUCCUACGGGAGGCAGCAGUAGGGAAUCUUCCGCAAUGGGCGAAAGCUUGACGGAGCAACGCCGCGUGAGUGAUGAAGGUCUUCGGAUCGUAAAACUCUGUUAUUAGGGAAGAACAAAUGUGUAAGUAACUAUGCACGUCUUGACGGUACCUAAUCAGAAAGCCACGGCUAACUACGUG